ACGCUCGACACCUACGGGGGGCAGCAGUGGGAAAUAUUGCACAAUGGGGGAAACCCUGAUGCAGCGACGCCGCGUGAGCGAAGAAGUAUCUCGGUAUGUAAAGCUCUAUCAGCGGGGAAGAAGAUGACGGUACCUGACUAAGAAGCACCGGCUAAAUACGUGCAGCAGCCGCGGUAAUCUGAGCGGGCUGGCAAGGC
Molecule: ribosomal RNA, 197 nt
Filed under: uncultured bacterium
Lineage: Bacteria
Description: partial 16S ribosomal RNA
Rfam family: Bacterial small subunit ribosomal RNA
Source: RNAcentral